CGCAAUCUAACACACUCGGUCCAGCGACGAUAAGAUGCCCACUCCUCUGAACAUCCACAAACUCCUCUACCCACCUGAUUGCCAAAGACAGCCACGGAGCAGGCUGUUGAAACCUCAUUAGCCCCGAACCAGACAGAAGCCAGGCGGGAGGGCAUGCCCAGGAUGAAGACCUGGGCCACGGAGCAGAUGACCUGGCCCAGCACGGUGACCGCGAAGAGGUGUGGCUGCAGGCUGCCCAACUUCACCCAGGCCCCCAAGCAGUUGAGAAACGAGCCGGUGAGGGCGAUGGUGCGCAGGCCGAAUUUCUCCAGCAGCCAGGCCACCGGCAGGAGCAGAGGGAUGUAGGUCAGCAUGUAGCACAUGGACAGCCAGUCGAUGGCAAAGGCGCUGACCCCGUAGAAGUUCAUGAAGAUGUUAUUGAUGGCGCCGUACUGGAUCCACUGAAAGGCGUUGCACAUGGAGUAGCAGCUGAACACCAGGACCACAGCCCAACGGCGCCUGCUCACCUUGAUCACGCUGAGGUUUUCGGGGCUGGAACCACAGGGUUGGGUCAAGCCGCCGGGCUGAGCCAAGGCACUGGGGUCAUCAUGGACCUCUCCCCAAACUCUUCAGAAUAUAUUCUGAACUUCACCUUAUAGACGAGGAAGCUGGAACCUGGAGAGUCAGGUGUGUUACUCAGAGUCUCACAGUGAAUUAGCAUCAGAACGAACGACGGUAAGAUUUCCCUUCCAUGUGGCAUCUCCCAUUAUCUUUUCUGGGGCAGCACUUCAGUCUGAUGACAAAUUCCAAGAGGUCUAACCUGGGAUAUUUGGAGUUGCUUUUGUGGAGAAGUACACCUUGAUGGAGAAGGAGAAAUACAUUUUAGAGAUUGCUUCCUGAAAGGGGGCUCUGAUUCUUGGUUCUGUUCUCAACUGACUCCAGAGGAAGCUUGCAGGAACCUCUGGCGUUAAACUCAACCUUUCCUGGCCUUCUGCAGACUGGUAGCAAAAUCUGCCCCCUAGAGGCUAACGGCAACUCCUGGCAGUAAGAACUGAACUUGGAAAUCAGACUCUCUCGCCCUUAUUGAUAGAUAGCUUACUACCAUCUAAACAGGGCUGUAGAUGUGAGAAGCAUGGAGUUUGGCGAGUGCUUGAGAAGUUACAGUGAAGUGAAUCAGGUUGAGACCCUGAAUUAUGCCUCCUUAAAAUACUAGCUUUUGGAACUUCUAAAAAUGUUGCCCUUACUAGUCUUAUAUGUAUAAUUUAUAUGUGUAAUACUACAUGAUUGUCAAUUUUCUGUUUGCCUUAUCGCCUACGUUUUUUUCAGAUUUCUAGCUCUCUAAGGACUUAUGUAUAUCUUUGCAUAGCCUGGAG
Lemur catta (Ring-tailed lemur) is the source of this 1352-nucleotide long non-coding RNA. RefSeq lists it as uncharacterized. The transcript is spliced from 3 exons. The record is from RefSeq and is a predicted model, not a curated record. NCBI's taxonomy places the organism in Eukaryota, Metazoa, Chordata, Mammalia, Primates, Lemuridae.